GACGUAGGAGGCGAGCGUUGUCCGGAGUUACUGGGCGUAAAGCGCGCGCAGGCGGCCCCUGUACGCUGCCCGGUGAAAGCUCCCGGCUUACCUGGGAGAGGUUCGGCAGUACGGCAGGGGCUGGAGGGUGGGAGAGGUCGGUGGAAUUCCCGGUGUAGUGGUGAAAUGCGUAGAGAUCGGAGGAACACCCGUAGCGAAGGCGGCUCACUGCCCGAUACUGACGCUGAGGCACGAAAGCGUGGGGAGCAA
RNAcentral lists this ribosomal RNA (249 nucleotides) under uncultured bacterium. Its description in RNAcentral is "partial 16S ribosomal RNA". It matches the Rfam family "Bacterial small subunit ribosomal RNA", at positions 524 to 771 of the family's 1533-position model. The record is from RNAcentral.